This is a non-coding RNA of Oryctolagus cuniculus (rabbit), 4885 nucleotides long. The record is from RefSeq and is a predicted model, not a curated record. NCBI's taxonomy places the organism in Eukaryota, Metazoa, Chordata, Mammalia, Lagomorpha, Leporidae.
UGCCCGUGGUUCACAGACACAGUUAGCAUCUGAUUUCCUGUAAGGAUUUCAAGGUUUCUGAUAUUUCCCACAACCAUCACUUUGGCACGUGACUAAGACGCCUUUGAAUGUUGGGAAUGUUGCUUUCUUGUAGCUGGGAUUUAGUUUUCACCUGCUCUGCAAACUCUCAACAGAGAUGAAGACGCUUCUUUGUGUCUUACACUUCUAUUUUAUUUUUCCUAAAAUAUAGUAGAUAUUCAGAGCAUGCAUCUUCCAUUUCUUUCGUCAUCAACACUCUCGUCAAGGAAAAGCUUCCACUACUCAUGUGACAGAUGAAUAUACAGAUCCCUAUAGUUAGGAGGAGCUGCCUCCUUCCCAGAGUCUCCCAGCCCCUCAAGUACUUGACUGAACUUCACAGAGGUUUAUCCAUUGUUAUCAACCAACUUAAUGAUGUCUUGAUGUAGACAGAUGUUAGCAGCUCACCUCAGCAUCCUGAGAGAUGUGGACUUGAAGACUAUGAUCAUCAACAAAAACUGAAGUUAAAGAGAAUGAACGUGGAAUUAUCAUGAAAAAAAGUAGAAAAGGAGAUCUACGGAGUUUGAAACUAAGCGAAAUAAUGGGAGUUUCUGUAGUUAGGAAGUUACUAUCACCAGGUCCAGUCCUCACUGCUGGUUCCUGGGGAGCCCCUUAGCGGAGCCUCCACCCAUUACUGAAUGUAGGCCUGUUACGUUACUAGUGACUCUACCAGAUUUUCAGGCUAAGUCCCUGUGAACAUUCAUCAAGAAAAUUUGGGAAUCAGCCGUAGGGGUCAUUUUGUGUAAAAUUAUGCCAUUACUCAAAAACAAUACUCCUCGCACAUGCAGAACACAAAAUGUUUUUGGUGAAUUUACCAUCUAAUUUGUUUUUCUGCAUUGGCAAGUCACAAGUUUAUGUUGGAAAUCCAUGAGCAUUUGUGAAAGCUGUCAAUAAGCACUUACGACUUCACAGAAUUUUUUCUAAGUGAACACGCUUUUUUGAGCACUGAAGAUCUGUUUUUUGAGCUCUAAGGAUAGGCUAUGGGUAUUGCCCUUAUAGUAUGCUUAGAAAAAUGAAGAAAAUGUAAUGAUUUAAACCAAAUUGGAAAAACGGUCACCCACAAUCUAUCUUUUACUUGCCUGCUGGUCAAUAUUAUUUACAACGUAUAAUUAAAAAGAUGUUAAGUUUCUUUAAACAUGUGCAAAAGAGGCAUAAGAUUCAUGGAGUCUGAAGGUGUGAGUGACUUAUUUAAAAUCCGUCCUGUUCCAACAGGGCAGAAAGGGCUCUUAUUAUUGUGAUGGUAUAAAACACAUGUCUUUAACCUAAAUAUCCUAAUGUUCCCUCUGUACUUAAAGUAUUAAGGGAGGCAGACUCGUUUAAUGGAACUGUUUCUUUUCAGGCAAACAGAGCUUUAUUUAGUGACUGGGUAACUCAUUAUCCAAAUCCCAGAAUUCAGUUUUCCAUGAGAGUCAGCAUUUCUGGUUUCUGAUAGUGGACUCUAAAUACAAUUCUCCUGUGCUUAUUGCUAGUGGGAGGAAAGCCACCCAGUGUGACUGCAACGUGACUUUUCUUGUCUUACAGAGUUGGAGAAGCACUUCUAAGAUAGUGUAAAGCAUUUUAAAAGAUCUGUUUUUUUUUCUCCUAUAAGCGAGUCUAGAACUUAGUUACCAAGUUUGAGAAUCGGAACCACUUGCUACCAUUCACUAAUCGUUACCGAUUUCAACUGAGAAGACGAAAUGUGAGAGUAGUGAAAAUAUAUGUGCCUGACAGCUCUUGACAGCAUGACCAUAGUGGGUCAACUUGAUUAGUGGCUUUUGUGCCACGUGAGAAUGAAAUCACACUAAAACCAGCCCCAAGAGUGUCCCGUGCUGACACAUCUGGCCAUCAUGACAGGCACUGCAGUAGGGAAGGCAGGUGGGUGUUGAUCCAUUGGUGUAAACAGUUAUGUGACACUGAUCCAAUUGCUGAUAUAGAUAUACAAUCCUGACCCCUUAUUAUCCAUUGAGUAAACAUAUAACCAUUUGGAGUGCAAUUGUGACUCCAGGAAUGUGUAAAUAAAAUAAAAAUGAGACCUGAACAGCCAAAACAGGUGUCAUGAAAGUCGUUGUGGCUGAGGGAAUCCCACUUGUGUCUCUGCAUUGGGAGGCUGCAGCACUAAGAUGCUGAGAAUGUACCGUGGUGGGCUGAGAACCAAGUAGGGGCAGCUGGAGGAAGGUUCCACUGUUGGUCAUGCCCAUAUGGGGAGCAGUCUCCCUACAGGGCCACAGGAACAGAUGGAAAAUAAAGAUUGUCCAGCAACCUGGGCUUUGGCAACAGCUUAAAUAAAUGAAUAAAAAUAACCAAGAGCAACACCAGAGGAGAACUUGCUUAUUAGGCCCUGUGUACAGCACAGGAUACCAGAACCCAGAAGAGAGGAGGGCUGGGAGAGAAGCAUGUCACGGUCAUCAAAGCUCAAAGUCCAGUGAGAGCACUCCCUGAGCUGUGUCCUGAACGUUUGAACUGCGUUUAUAUUAGCCCAGACUUUUCAACCACUGAUAAGUGUAGGAAAAUGCUGGAAUCUGAUUGGGAUGACAUUAAAGGACUGAGAAGGGAGAUUUUAGAGAGCAGGUUUGAAAACAGUGGUUAGAAAGAAAAAGAAUCCUGCUUCUAUUAUAUUAAGUAAACAAUUUAAUCUCCUACUCAACACACUUUUCUUUCCUUUUGUUUUUAUGCUGAAUGAAUGAAUGCAUGAAUGGAUGAGUUGGGCCCUUAUCACUAACUGCAGAGUUAAAUGCAUGUUUUACUACAUUUAAAACAAAAUCAAAGCUUCAAUGAGCAGAUGGUGGAAGCUUUUAUUUUCCAAGAGACAAAAAGCCCGCCUGUGCCCUUUUCCUCCCAGCAGUGAGAGGCUGGCCUCCCCAUGGGUAUAGCCAGCCUGAGCAACUCACUAGGUCUCAGGAAAACCAAUUCACAGCUUUCACAUUUUAAAAUUUUACAUAAGUUAUCAAAAAAUCUUGUUUUUCAGUAAGCUAUUUAAUUUUUGAGAAAAUACUGUUCCAAUGGCAUUUUUACUUCUGUUAAAAUUUUUAAAAAUCAAAUCCACAGUCUAAAAAGAACAAUCAACUUCUCCAAAAGGGAAAGCAACAUUGUCAAGAAUGAAAAUUUGAAAUCCCAGUACUCAGUGUUAACAUUGACAGAGCUGAAGUUCCAAGAGGAUUUGAAUUUGACAAGAAUUAAAAUGUGUCUGCUCCUUCUAUGUUACACCUUUUUAAAACAUUAUUCCAAGAAAAGCAACUGAAGCUCCAUGUGCUGUUUAUUUCAUGGCAUAGAAUAUUGGCUGUUACCAGAAUCUCAUUGUUUGAAAGAGACUUUAUUUUUCCUACUGUGAAUAUGAAAUACCUCCUUUGGGGUCAGAGGCAUACAUAAAGAUAUAUCAUUUGCCUUUUAAUGUGGCUUUCCGGUGACUGUACAGUUUGAAAUUGUUAUGUAUGCAGCCAGUCUUCCUUCCUGAAUGUUCUUGCUCUGUCCUCUGCAAAUAUGGAUGGAAAUAAUUAUAGUGAGGAUGGCUUCGUAUGAUGAUGUCACUCCAGAGAGAACCUGCACCACAGGGAGCAUUUCCAGUAAAGUACAGCAGAAACUGCAGGGUAAUCAAAGUGCAAAUUCCAAUUUAUUUAAGCAAUAUUGUUCUCGCUCCUCCAUUUCACAAAGCUGUCCUUUCUCAUUAAAUUUUUGAAAGAGAAGGAAUGAAUUUUACCAGCAGAAAUCUGAAUGCCAGUUGACCUUUUUGAAAACUCUGCAUGGAACGCUGGCAUCAGCUGUCUUUUCACACCCGUGGUGACAAAAGGUAGAAAUUGAGGCUUACAAGAAAUAAACGGAAUAUAGACAAGGCAUCAUGCCAUCCAGCGAGGCUUCUGUUUGGAAAGAAGUUUGUGUGUUUAGAGAGGAGAGUAUUUGGAGAUGGCCCAGAAGGGGCUUUGGGCAAGAUGUAGGGUUGAGGCUUUCUUUAUGUACAUCCCAGGGCCUGUCUUUGAUUGGAUCAGGUCCUAGAUGGAGGGUCCAUCUAGGCUCGUCAUUAGGUGAGGUCUUGUGUGCAGGUAGAAAAUGAGGACACAGCAAGGCCAGUUCCGUGGUGGAAGGAGAGCCGGUGCUGCCAGGUGCCCAGGAAGGACUUCACCCGGAUAUGUCAGAAAUAGUGAGGGAUGCUGCAGGUGUAAUUUGGGUCUUCAAUGAGAGAGCUGAGGAGCAAAGUCUUCAAAGCAAAGGGAUUAACACCGAGUUAAGAAAAAUACAAGGAUGAUCUGGAAUUCGGAAGGAAGGCACUUCCCUUUGGCUGGAGAGAAGGUGUGAGAAUGAGGACAGCAUCCUGCGAAAAAAAGUAAGCAAGAAUUUGUCCUUACAGAGUCUUUUACUUCUGCACUGUGUUAAACAUAGAUGCAUUUUCAUUGUAAAGGUCGGGUUAGCUAGCGACAUAAUUGCUGUUAGUCUCCCUAGCUGUGGGAUGCAGUUUUAGAAGCCCUGCAUUUCACACUCUGCACAAAAAGGUAAUAAGGGGUACAAGCCAGCCUCCAUAGUCCAUGCUCAGGUUUUAGUCUUCAUUGCUGGUCCGCUUCCAAACAUACAAUCAAAACAUCAGCUCCAGUGACUAACAUUCAGAUUUGUAUCAAUUGAUUAAAAAAUGAUCAGAUAGUAAAUCUGCAGUGCAUUCUUGCAUAACAAAAGGCAGUUUCCAAAUGGCACCAAAAGAUCCUGUGUUUACUUGUUUCUCUUUAUGUUGCUGUCUGUAGGCACAAAAGUACACAGGGAUCAGAGUGAUUUUCCAACAACGUGCCUAUUAAGGCUGAGGAAUGUUAUACAGAGUGAUUAUCCAGCAACGUGCCUAUUAAGGCUGAGGAUUAUUAUACAGUGUUAAAUC